Molecule: ribosomal RNA, 429 nt
Filed under: Acidobacteriota bacterium
Lineage: Bacteria; Pseudomonadati; Acidobacteriota
Description: Acidobacteria bacterium partial 16S ribosomal RNA
Rfam family: Bacterial small subunit ribosomal RNA
Source: RNAcentral
UGGGGAAUUUUGGACAAUGGGGGAAACCCUGAUCCAGCCAUCCCGCGUGUGCGAUGAAGGCCUUCGGGUUGUAAAGCACUUUUGGCAGGAAAGAAACGUCAUGGGUUAAUACCCCGUGAAACUGACGGUACCUGCAGAAUAAGCACCGGCUAACUACGUGCCAGCAGCCGCGGUAAUACGUAGGGUGCAAGCGUUAAUCGGAAUUACUGGGCGUAAAGCGUGCGCAGGCGGUUCGGAAAGAAAGAUGUGAAAUCCCAGAGCUCAACGUUGGAACUGCAUUUUUAACUACCGGGCUAGAGUGUGUCAGAGGGAGGUGGAAUUCCGCGUGUAGCAGUGAAAUGCGUAGAUAUGCGGAGGAACACCGAUGGCGAAGGCAGCCUCCUGGGAUAACACUGACGCUCAUGCAAGAAAGCGUGGGGAGCAAACAGG